AAUAUUUUUCCUCCCCAAAUUAAAAGCCCUAGGCUCCUAACUAGUCUUCCUCAUCUCCUUGCGCCACUGCCGUCCGCCACCCCCACCUCUGUAACUGUUUCUUAUAACAAAGAUCAAAGCCCGGUUAAGUUGAAUUUAUGCGCCGGAGCUUACCGAACCGAGGUCUGUACUUGUAUUUCAUCUUAUGCGGAGAAUUAUUGAGUGAUAUUUGGCUUUAUAAUUGGUAAAUGGCAUGAAGGAAAACCUCUUGUUCUCAAUGUAGUGAGGAAGGCAGAUUAAAUGCUUGUGAAUGAUCAAUCUCGUGUGAAAGAAUAUCUUCCAAUUAUUGGAGUCGCAGAUUUUAACAAAUUGAGUGUCAAGCUCAUUUUUGGAGCUGACAUGUAAAGGGAACUGCAAUUUUAGUUUAAGUUGCGGGAUUUUAUUGAAUACAACAAUUCUUUGGAUUUUGUUGGGCCCUGAUGAAUUCUAAAAAGUAUUCUUUCGAAGAGGAAUUACGUAUGUGCUGUCAAGAUUCUAUAAGAUUUUAGUUAUAGAAACUAGAUUUUUCAAACAGAUGCAAUUAAAUUAAUUCUUCUGUCUAGUACUGAUGCAUACUGAAUGCAUAGAUGAAUUAAAGAAAAAGGUUGGAAUUUAAAUUACCCACUUUAAUAACAUGUCUUACAAAACUAUCCAUCCAUAUAAUAUAUUUUACAAAACUACCCAAAGCAAAAUUGAUGUUGAUAGGUUGCAUCGACAGCGCUAUUUGUGUUUUGAAAGAGAAGAGAGCGGAUGGCCUAGUAGAUGUCCUCUUGUAGCCACUGUUGACUUGGUGUUGAUGUUGCUGAUGAUGUGUUGUCAUAGAAUUUAGGGAGUUCUCGUGUGUUUGCGCUUUUGAGGGUGUAGGGUCAGCUGUUGCCCUUGAUCUUCAAAGCCUCUUUCACCGCUUCUGAGAGUGAGGCGAACAGUGGUACCUAGUUGUGAUUUAGUUCUAUCUUAGGGACCUUUGCUUUGGUGAAGUGGAUAUCCAAUGCAGUGGUUGAGUGAAUUUGUAGCGACGACGUCUUAUGCUCUGUUGUUACAAGAGAGUCGAAGACUGUAGCGAAAACUAUUUUUAUCCCGCGGCUUGUCAGUUGGUGAGUCGAAAAUACUCAUUGGAGAAUGGAGGAUCCCAUUCAAGCUCUGAAUCGGGUACUUUUUUCCUAGCUGCUCUCCUAAAACUUUUGUCACGGCGGCUAUAGCAUACAACCACUGUUGAACAAAUCCAGGGUGAAAGAGAAACAUGAAGUGGGGCUGUGGCGAAAGAUGGGCAACACGAAAGCAUCGUGCUUGCUUUCCUAUCUGAUGAGGGAUAAGAACCUCAUCAUCGCAGACACGUGAAAUAAUGAUUACUCGUACCCAUACUCAUGUAGAACAGAGUGCAUUGACAGCGCAGAUAUAUUAACUUGCGCAGCUAUAAUUGCCUGUAUAGUCAAAAGAUGACUAUAUAUUUAUGUCUGUGAUUACUAAUAUCAGACUUGCGCUGAUUAUGCAGGUAUAUGAGUCAUCUCCACGAACUAAAGUAUAAAGGAGCAGAUCCUGCGCGGCAUGAGUGGGAGCGCCGCCACGUCAAGGAUAAUUGGAGAAGCAAGCGGAGCCUUUAGAACCUGGCCUGACAGCGCAGUCACACUGAAAGAACCAACAUGACGAAUCUCACUGAAAGAAUAAUGCAUGCCUGCGCAGACAUUCAAGACUUCCGCCAGCGCAGUAUCAACUCGCUAUGCUUAGAUUAAAGAGCUGUAAGUUAGUUAGAAUAAUAUAGCCUAUUAGACAGUGAUCGCCGCCCUCAUCGGUACAUGCAGAGUACGUGAGAAAUGUCAAAAGACCUUCAUACCCUUUGCCCUUGUAAUCUCUAUAAAUACCCAUGUAUUCCUCUGUAAUGCUCUCUCUGGCAAUUAUAAUAGAAGCAGCCAUAUUUACUUUA
This is a long non-coding RNA of Salvia miltiorrhiza (redroot sage), 1939 nucleotides long. RefSeq lists it as uncharacterized. The transcript is spliced from 3 exons. The record is from RefSeq and is a predicted model, not a curated record. Lineage: Eukaryota; Viridiplantae; Streptophyta; Magnoliopsida; Lamiales; Lamiaceae.